This 578-nucleotide long non-coding RNA is filed under the name Nicotiana benthamiana. Its description in RNAcentral is "long non-coding RNA (NBEN_LNC007878)". The record is from RNAcentral. Lineage: Eukaryota; Viridiplantae; Streptophyta; Magnoliopsida; Solanales; Solanaceae.
UGGUCUAGCAUGCAAAUUUGUUCUAGGAUAGCUAUUUCUAGGAUACACAUUUUUGUUGUUGUUCCUAGGUUGAGCUCUAGGUUGUUGAGGUUUAGCAUCAACCUUUUCUUCAUUUUUAAAACCUAUUCCAUGCUUAGUUGAUUUUAAGUUAUCAAGUACAACAUUCAAGUUUUUAUGCGAGGAAUUAAACUUAUCUAGUGUGCCUUUAAGUCUACCUACUUCAUUCUUAAGGUUCACACAAGAAGUACAACUUUUAGUAGAAUUUUCAGGUUUGUCGGCACUUCUCUUUCCAUAAAACUUGUUUUCUUCUUGUAGCUUCUCAUUUUCCAAAACCAGUUUUUUUAAUUCCUUUUCUUUUAAAGAAAUCUGUUUUGAAAAUCCGUGUCUUUUAGAGAAGCGUUUUCUCUUAAGCUAGUGACAGUUUUUGAAGCCUUUAAAAAUUCAGUAUAUAACUCAUCAAAAGCGUUACGCAUUUCAUCAAGUGAAAAGUUUUCAGACAAAAUUUGACGUACCUCGUUUUGGUUGUCUUCUUGUGCCAUGAGACAAAGGUUUGCAGCUUCGUCGUUUUCUUCUUCACU